Oncorhynchus keta (chum salmon) is the source of this 1025-nucleotide long non-coding RNA. RefSeq lists it as uncharacterized. The transcript has 3 exons. NCBI's taxonomy places the organism in Eukaryota, Metazoa, Chordata, Actinopteri, Salmoniformes, Salmonidae. The record is from RefSeq and is a predicted model, not a curated record.
CAUAGACUCAUACACUCUCCGGACAGUUUAUUAGGUAUACCAUAAUAAUGGCUAUUGAAGCAUGUAGACAGGCAUCGAGGCUUUUAGUUACUGUUCGAUUAAACAUCAGACCGGACAAAACUAGUGCCCUAAGUGACUGAGCCCGGUAUGAUCAGUGCCUGGUGCACCGGUUCCAGUUCCUCAGAAACGGCCUCCUGGGCUUUUCACGCACGACAGUGUCUCGGGUUUACUGAGAAUGAUGCAACAAACCAAAACAUCCAGUCAGCAGCAGUCCUGUGGGUGAAAACAGCUGGUUGAUGAGAGGUUGAAGGAGAAUGGGAAGAAUCAUCCAGUCAGCAGCAGUCCUGUGGGUGAAAACAGCUGGUUGAUGAGAGGUUGAAGGAGAAUGGGAAGAAUCAUCCAGUCAGCAGCAGUCCUGUGGGUGAAAACAGCUGGUUGAUGAGAGGUUGAAGGAGAAUGGGAAGAAUCAUCCAGUCAGCAGCAGUCCUGUGGGUGAAAACAGCUGGUUGAUGAGAGGUUGAAGGAGAAUGGGAAGAAUCAUCCAGUCAGCAGCAGUCCUGUGGGUGAAAACAGCUGGUUGAUGAGAGGUUGAAGGAGAAUGGGAAGAAUCAUCCAGUCAGCAGCAGUCCUGUGGGUGAAAACAGCUGGUUGAUGAGAGGUUGAAGGAGAAUGGGAAGAAUCAUCCAGUCAGCAGCAGUCCUGUGGGUGAAAACAGCUGGUUGAUGAGAGGUUGAAGGAGAAUGGGAAGAAUCAUCCAGUCAGCAGCAGUCCUGUGGGUGAAAACAGCUGGUUGAUGAGAGGUUGAAGGAGAAUGGGAAGAAUCAUCCAGUCAGCAGCAGUCCUGUGGGUGAAAACAGCUGGUUGAUGAGAGGUUGAAGGAGAAUGGGAAGACUCAUGCAAGUUAACAGGUGGGCCACAAACAGACAAAUACCGGUGCAGGACAACAGUGGUGUGCAGAACGACAUCUCAGAACCCACAACUCGUCGAGAGGCCCGUUAUCAGCAACCAUCACUCAUGUGUUCCAA